AUUGAACGCUGGCGGCAGGCCUAACACAUGCAAGUCGAACGGUAGCACAGAGAGCUUGCUCUCGGGUGACGAGUGGCGGACGGGUGAGUAACGUCUGGGAAACUGCCCGAUGGAGGGGGAUAACUACUGGAAACGGUAGCUAAUACCGCAUAACGUCGCAAGACCAAAGUGGGGGACCUUCGGGCCUCACACCAUCGGAUGUGCCCAGAUGGGAUUAGCUAGUAGGUGGGGUAAUGGCUCACCUAGGCGACGAUCCCUAGCUGGUCUGAGAGGAUGACCGGCCACACUGGAACUGAGACACGGUCCAGACUCCUACGGGAGGCAGCAGUGGGGAAUAUUGCACAAUGGGCGCAAGCCUGAUGCAGCCAUGCCGCGUGUAUGAAGAAGGCCUUCGGGUUGUAAAGUACUUUCAGCGGGGAGGAAGGCGGUGAAGUUAAUAGCUUCACCGAUUGACGUUACCCGCAGAAGAAGCACCGGCUAACUCUGUGCGAGCCGCCGCUGUAA
RNAcentral lists this ribosomal RNA (504 nucleotides) under uncultured bacterium. RNAcentral's name for it is "partial 16S ribosomal RNA". It matches the Rfam family "Bacterial small subunit ribosomal RNA", at positions 30 to 523 of the family's 1533-position model. The record is from RNAcentral.